RNAcentral lists this ribosomal RNA (253 nucleotides) under uncultured bacterium. RNAcentral describes it as "partial 16S ribosomal RNA". It matches the Rfam family "Bacterial small subunit ribosomal RNA", at positions 524 to 776 of the family's 1533-position model. The record is from RNAcentral.
UACAGAGGUCCCAGGCGUUGUUCGGAUUCACUGGGCGUAAAGGGUGCGUAGGUGGCUGGGAAAGUUUGAUGUGAAAGCUCAGGGCUCAACCCUGAAAUGGCAUUGAAUACUACUUAGCUGGAGGUUUGGAGGGGGGACUGGAAUUCUCGGUGUAGCAGUGAAAUGCGUAGAUAUCGAGAGGAACACCAGUGGCGAAGGCGAGUCCCUGGACAACACCUGACACUGAGGCACGAAAGCUAGGGGAGCAAACAGG